AGUAGGAUAGCUGGGUCAAAUGGUGGUUCCAUUCAAAGUUUUUAAAGGAAUCUCCAUACUGCUCUCCAGAGUGGAUAAACCAAUUUGUAGUCCCACCAGCAAU
Molecule: microRNA precursor, 103 nt
Filed under: Marmota monax (woodchuck)
Lineage: Eukaryota; Metazoa; Chordata; Mammalia; Rodentia; Sciuridae
Source: RNAcentral